RNAcentral lists this ribosomal RNA (70 nucleotides) under Macrolobium rubrum. Its description in RNAcentral is "partial 26S ribosomal RNA". It matches the Rfam family "Eukaryotic large subunit ribosomal RNA", at positions 1 to 67 of the family's 3401-position model. Lineage: Eukaryota; Viridiplantae; Streptophyta; Magnoliopsida; Fabales; Fabaceae. The record is from RNAcentral.
GAAGCGACCUCAGCUCAGGCGGGGCUACCCGCUGAGUUUAAGCAUAUCAAUAAGCGAGGAAAAGAAACUA